Long non-coding RNA from Crotalus tigris (Tiger rattlesnake), 6642 nucleotides. RefSeq lists it as uncharacterized. NCBI's taxonomy places the organism in Eukaryota, Metazoa, Chordata, Lepidosauria, Squamata, Viperidae. The transcript is spliced from 2 exons. The record is from RefSeq and is a predicted model, not a curated record.
AGAUACAGUAUAGAAAGAUUCUGAAGAUAGACCUAGAAGCAAUCAUUCAAAAAUGAAAUUCCAACAUGAAACUGAAGAUGGUUUAAAAUUCCUGUGAAGACACUUUUGCACUGGAAUAUCCUACAUAUACAGGAAAUCUGAUGGAACCCUGCCCUGACUACAGGCCAACCCAUCCUUCACCUGUGACAAUACUGCACCUCACAUGGUUUGUGAUGUCACCUGUGUCCUUCAUGACAACUCUGGCACAUCAUCAUCAUCAUAAGGGUUAGGCCUCUGAAUCUUCUCUCCUUCUCCUGAUAUCAUGAAAAUACUCUGAGAUCUUGAGAGAUAAUUUCUUGGCAUUGUAUUUGGAAUGAAAAGAUGUUAAGGGGAAUAAUUAGUCAGUAACAGAAGACAGGCUUUGCACAUAGCAGGUCAGCUAGCUCAAUCUCUAGCAUUUUUCUACCUAUAGAGGGAGUGGGGAGCAAGCAAGAUAAAAAAAGACCUCUCUUGUGUGUUACAGUAUUUUGGAAAACCACUGUGAACCACAGAAAAUCAGCCCUCUCCAAAUUGAUGAGCUGUAACUAGUAGAAGAUCCAGCUAGAAACCCCUAACCUCCAUACGAACAUAAUUUUAUUUGGGGGAUAUGAAAUAUCCUCUUUCCACAAGUACUUUGUUGAAGAAGAAUUUUAAUGUUCAAAGUGUAGAUGUUUUGAAUCCACAUUUUAGCUUUUAGCUUUGUUUCCUUCUCCCUGCUGCUCAGUUGUCUGUCUUAUAAAUAUUUAGCUAAAGUGUUAUUAUUUUGGAAGAGAUUAUUAUUCCUUUAAUUGUUUUACUAUUUGUAAACCAGAUGAAGUUGUUUUUGUAGAAGUAUAACUGCCAUCAGUAAAUCAGUAAUGAAUUGCCCAUUCUGGUGGAUUUUGUAUAUGGGAUGUAUAUCAGGGGUAAAGAGGUGAAAUCUUCUCAGGCAGGAAAAUAUUUUGACUACCCUUAGAAUUUAACUGUAUGUGUUUCCAUGACAAAGAACAAAAUAUAGCUACUGGAUAUAACAUUUACUUUUUCAGAAAUGAAUUUAAUGCGGCAUUUAAACACAUGCACACGCAACUUUGUUUACUCAGAAGUAAAUCCCACUAUGACACAUUGCCUAGUAGAUGAGAGUAUGGCACCCCAUAUUGCUGUAAUUCUGCUUCAGGCAGGGGAUACAUUUGCUGUGUUUUUAGGCCUCUGAAGACCAUUUAUCAGACUCCAGAAGAGGGCAGCAAAACUCCUGAGUUGAGUGGCAGCCCCUCUACUCCCAGGAAGCAGCGUUUCUAGGCUGUAUCCCAAUGAAUCAGAAAGAAAAAGCUGCAGAUGAAGGAAGCCGAUUCUUUGGAACUUGACCUUUGUCUCCUUUGAGGUUCUUUUUUUCAGCCUCAUAUCCAGCUUUCGUGAUCUCAGAUGGAAAUCAUGACACAAGAUGACAAUUCUAUCUCUCUAGUCUGAGAACACUAAUAAGAAAAGUAUAGUCCACUUUCAGCACUCAAAAUGAUUGCAAUAAUUAUUCACACUGGCUGACUGGGAUUACAACCUAGCUCCUUAGGGCACCAAAAAGCACUUCCAGAUGAUCAGGUUUUCCCGUCUCUGAAUUCUUCUGAAUGCAGUUCAAACCACACCUGAGAAUGAUCCAGACCAGGGGUAGGGAACCUUGGUUCUUUUAUGACUUGUGGACUUCAACUCCCAGAAUUCCUGAGUCAGCAUGGCUAGUUCAGGAAUUCUGGGUAUUGAAGUCCACAAGUUAUAAAAGAGCCAAGGUUCCCCUACCCCUGAUCCAGACGGCCUUGACAAUUUUCAGAAUCAUUUGGACAGCAGGAUGCUAUAACCAUAGGAUUGUUUCUAUGUUUGAAAGUCUGUAGAGAUCUUUCAACCCGCCAGCCAUUCAAAGCUUGCUAUUUCUUGCUAGUACUUGAGAACAGACCAUUGUCAACAAUGGUGGGAUUCAAAUAUGUGAACAACCGGUUCUCUGUGUGGAUGCCAUUUCCGGAAGUCCAUUCUGGCCUGGGCAACAAAAAAUUAGCCACCGGUUCUGCCAAAGUGGUGCAAACCGGUUGAAUCCCACCACUGAUUGUCAGGUAGUUGGUACUCACUGCUGGCUACCUACUGAGUGUCUUAUCCUCUCCGUUCAUGUCUCUGUUAAACACCCAUCUUUCCUUCUUCCACAAAAAUAAAGGAUUUGUUUUUAUUAUACAUUUCCCACUCAACAAGAUUUACCUAAUCAUACAAUGGUAAGAUUUACAAGGAAUAAAAUAUAGUAUGUUUCAAGAAUCCUUUGAAUAAGAACACAGACUGUCCCUGUAAGCACAAGGCAGUGGCAUUUGCUGUUUCUGAAGCCUUUUCACACCCAUAGCUAUGCCACUGACCAUGGCUAUAACCAAACUGCUCAUGAUUGCAAGGCCCAAUGACAUCAUCAUGUGAUUAGCAGGGGUCUUGCAUGUGUUCUAGGGUGGUGCUUCAGUCUGGCAGAUGUGGAUCAAUAGAGAAUGUAAACAUUUGGCAGAUAGAAUCUGCUCUGCUGUAAGGUCCUAUUCCUAAAAUGAACCCCUUGUUCAUAUAGUCAUCCUUUGCCUGUUGCACACUGAAGUAGAUUGCAGUGAAUAUAUGAACCAAUUAACCUAUGAGAGGAGCUGAACAGCAAUUCUGGUGGGACUUCAGCAUUUACAAAAGUAUACAAUAGUUUGGGAAGAGUGUCCUAAGGCAGGAAUCCUAAGCAAUUUCUACUAAAGAUGUGUUUGUUUUCCAGAAAUAUGGUGAAAGACAAGGAGAAAAUUAGGGGACAGGAGAAGAUUCGCAUCAAUGUUGUGAUGUAGCACUUAAGGUGUUGGCUUAAAAUAAGGAGAGGGGAGAAUACAGGUUCGAGUUCACUUUCAGCCAUGGAGGCUCCCUAGGUGAUAUUGGGCCAGUCAUUUUCACUUAGCCUAUCUUAUUACAAGGUUGCUAUGGGUGGGUGGGGGGAAUGGAGAAGGGAGUAUAUUGUAUAAUAUACAAGCUUGAGCCCCUGGACACAGGGAGGGAUGUAAGUCUAAGAAAUAAUACAUACAAUAAUAAAAUUCUCCUGCAAGCGCCACUUGUGAGACGGUGAUUUCACUAGCAGGUAUGUAGUUUUUCAGCAUCUAAUGAUAUACAAAUGAUAUUUGCUGACAAGACUCCAUUUUAGUAGUGCUUAGGAUCUCACCAGCAGCUUAAGAAAAACAAGUAGAGGCUUUUACAAGACAAGUUGUCAAAUGUUUUCAGAGAUACCCAUUUGUAUAUGUGUCACUGCCAUCAGACAUAAAAAAUGGACACACAGGCACACAUGUAUAUAUAAGGGAAGGAGAAUUGUAGGAAUUUUAUGAUCAACACAUUGGGCUUUCACUUUCUCCAUAACUUAAAAGAAAAACAAAUUUGCCCGUGGGAACAAUUGCAUCUAUGUACUGGCUCUGAAUGUGGAUGCAAAUAGCUUUAUGGCUGGAUUGAAGAACUGAUGUGAUUCAGGCCAUGCAAAACAACUCUAUAACCUAUGCAAACAACUCUGACCUACUGUAUGCAAUUUGACCCUUCCUAACCUAGAACAUCUUAUUCGGGAUAAAAAUAACUCCGGCCCAUAAAAUUCUGCUUGCACAUACUUUUAGCUCCCCAAAUUACUCAUCAGCUACUAUUCAUUGUUCACUGUCCACUGUCACAUUAUCACUGCAUGCUCCUUAUUAAACAGUCUUCUGCUUGGUAACACCUCUGAAUAAUUUUUCUUAAUGUUCUCAGAGACUUUUUUUUACAAGGGUUGUUUAUUUCAUGGCAUUAUUGGAGUCAAUCUUUAAUCACCAUCAUUUCUUAGUGAUGCUGUUGCUAAGGUUCUCGUUGCCCCGUGUUAUGUUUAUUCUUGACUUAAUGAGCACAUUUGGCAGAAUGCACCCUCCCACCCUCUGCUUAUGUUGUGAAAAAUCCCCACUAGAUUUCAUAGGCCUCACACAGCUGGCUCUUUAAGAGAUAUCCCACAAUUGAUAACAGCCAGAACCAGCAUCCCUAUGACUUUGUGGUAAUGGCUAUAGAGAGAUAGAUGAUAAACCAAGGUUCAGUCAUUGAAACCUCUAGACAGUGAGAAAGGGAAGGGGCACUUAAAUGGGCAACAUAGAUGCUUUCAUUGGGAAGCUAUGUUAGUAACACUUAAAACUCUAUGCUCACCGGGUUGACUGGGGGCCCAGGACUUCUCCCCGAAAUCUGGUCAGAUGCAAACAUUUAAGGAUGACUUCACUAUUUUUUGCUGCAUGUUACUCAUGUAUAAAAGGGCUUUAUUCAACCUUUAACAGAUGACCAAAGGAAAUUUCUCAAUAAUCUCUUGUGAAGUUCUCCGUUUUUACUUUCAGAACCGCUCAAAUCUGCCACUGAUGAGCACCAUCUUAGAGAAGGCAUUCUGCUUUCUCCUCAGCUGAGGCAGGAGCCUUCUUUUAAUGUGAUCUUUGCAGCAACACCUACAGGCAGCGUCUGCAAACGAAGGGUGUCUGCCUUUCUGUGCCCCUUUCAAGAAAUUCCUGUUCCAGCCACAGGUUAAUUCUGCCGAUUUCAUUGAUACAGAAUCAUUUGAUUAACUGAUUAUCGUUCUUUUUAAAUGCAACACAGGAGCUCAUCUUCUGAUAAAGUUUUUUUUUUCCAAUCUCCAUGUUCUCUGUCUGUGCACAUGUACUCAACCUUCUCAAGCCCACACAAAUACACUCACACACCUCUUACACGCCUUUAGUACAGCUGCUCCCCCCACAGCAGCAGCGCCUGCCUGCCUGCUUGUCUGCCUGCCUUCAUUCCCCCACCCCCACUCUGCCCUUACAGGGCCGUUUUUUUUUUUUUUCAUACUCAAGGGUACAGGAUGUUCUGUUCUUUCUCUCUCACUCACACGCGUAGGCACACACCCUCUCCUCCUCCCCCCCCCCCGCCUGUUUCUGUUCCUCAAUAUCAGGCUUGGGGCCUUCACCUUUUUAACCCCUUCAGCUCCAGUUUGCAUUAGGCGAGGCACGGAUGACAACACAAACCCUGCUGCACCACCAUCCCUCCCUCUGACAAGCUAGGCAUUGCUCAUUGCAGAGUCGGACAAGCAAAUAUGUUGGCUUCUCAAUUAGCAACUCAGCCUGCUGUUUACCAAGGGGGUUCCUAAAGGGUUGGUGGGCCAGCUGGCAGGGGAGGCCUUGGGCAGGAAGAAGCAUUUUUUUAGUGCUGUUGGUGGUGGGGCCAGAGAAAGGCAAGUCUCCCUCUUUCCUGACCCGACUCAGAAGAUCAAAUUAUCUCUUCUCCUUGGGCCCCUCCUUCUGACCUUGCUUUUUCUCACAGGUUAGCUGUCCCUGACUAACAAGGCUAGGAAGAGGAUGACGUAAAUUCAACCGAUAACACCAGGAGAUGAGAAGAGACAUCUGGCAAUCGCUGGCUGGCUUCAUGUUGAAGGAAAUACUGCCAUUUUUGCUGAAGAAGCAUCUGGCCAGUCAUUGCCUCAGUUUUUCUACAAAUGACCCUCCUCUGAGAAAUGAUCAGAACUCCUAAAUCAGGGGUGACAAACUGCCUGCCACAGGCCUUUUGCAUCAUGCAGAGGCCACGCCCAUCACAGCUCUGGCAAUGCAAAAAAAGUCAAGAUACCUUGUGACAUAUCACAUGACGCGGCAGAUUUGACAUCCAUACCCUGAAUAAAUUUGGGCAUCCAAAACUAGAACGCUUCCUCCCUCCCAAAAACUUUUAUUUGAUUUUAGGUGGCUUACAAUGAAACAAAUAAAAAUGCAAAAUAUUCAUAACGUAAAACAAAAAUACAAAUACAUAGCGGCCGGGUAUAAUCUGACCUAUUCAUACAACCAAGAGACAGGCUCUAACUCAUGCUAGGGCCUCAAGCUUGAUCACAAGCCACAGGCCAACAGGGAUGGGUCCAAUCUAAUGGGGGUGGGAGAAAUGAUAUUCCAAAGGGUGGGUGCCCCAGGAGAAAAUUGUCUCUUCUUCUGGGCCUCAUCAGCUGACUCUCCCUAGCUGACCUAGAGCAUGCCCUUCUUGCCAUAUUGGAUAAGAGGGGUAGGAACAAUUGGGGGGAGAGAUUUAUAUGUUUGGUAUUCUCUACACACAACAGCAGAAAUGGGUCUGGUAGGAUGCUGCCUAUGAAGUAUUAAAAAUUGAAAAUGUAUUCAGUGGGCACCAUAGAAUAAUCACAAUCCCCUCUUCUAUUUAAGCUUCCUCAUCUGACACAUUCUGGAUGAGCCUGUUAUUUCCAUUUGCUAGGCCUAGCCCUAAGCAGAGAAUCAGUCUCAGUGAAUUUUUGACUCAAAAGGAAAAACAACGGAUUCAAUAACCAACUCUCUUUUUUUUCAAGGGCACUCCUGUUUCUGCACACAAGCCAGACAGAAGGAUCAACUACCAGAACCUGCCCAUACUUAAUUAUCAUCAUUGGAGAUCUUAUUUUAUGUGCCGUCACUUGAAAGAUACAAAUUUAAUGAUAUUUGAGACAAGGCCUUUUGACAAAUUCCUGCUUUCAGGGGAUGGUAAUGAGAUUGGCUUCUUUAUUGUUUUGCAUUAUACAGUAUUGGUAGAGUAGCCAGUUUUGUUGAGUAUUUUAUAUCACCCUUCUGUUUUAAUAUUAAUACUGUUCUCAUAGUUAAAGGUUUUUAAUACUUUAUUAAAUUGCUCACUACUCUG